GUGGGGCGCAGUGCUGUGCAGAGCAGGGCACAGAGCUCAGCAGGAUGCAGCUCCUGGAGGCGCAGGGACUGAUGCUGCCCCAUCCCCAGGAAUGGUGUUAAUGGGGCCCACCUGGCGCCCAGGGCUCAGGGAACUGAACCCAGUGCCCUCACCCUGAGCUCAGCGCAUUCCCCUGGUGUUAACCCCAUUUCCUCUGCACGUGGAGCAGUCGUGGCUGUUAGCAGGGCUGUCGGCACAGGGGGGGCUGCAGCGUGCCCCUAUUAGUGCCCUGCACUAAUCCCACUGAUUCUUUCCAUCCAGCCCCUGUGACACUCCGAUCCCAUAGAGGAGGUGAUGUCUCGUGGGUUGAAACCCUUCCAUUCGUCCCAGCAGAGCUUUGAGAGCACACGGAGAGCUCUGCGCACCACUGAUUUAUCGUGGGAAGCGGCAGGGCGCUCUCAGCUCAGAGCAGCAGCACGAACAUCCUCUCUGAAUGGCAGCAGAGCAGGAAGAGCGUUUGUUAUGGGGAGAAAAACGCAUCCCAGAGGUUGCAGGAGCAGCUCACAGCCCUUCCUCCCAACCCAAUUUCCUUCUGGCUCCGACGUCCCAGACCCGAUGUGCCCACGGUGGGCGCAGUGAGGCGAUGCUCAUCUCCAGGAUCCCGACGCUGCUGCCGGCUCCGUCUCCACGCAGCAAUGCGCGGGGACACCCGGAGACAGAGCCGUGUUUGUUGUUUUAAGAAAUACGGAGCAGACGGGGAUGCUCUCCUCCUCCUCCUCCAGGGGAUCGGACCCACCCUGAGCAUCUCCCAGUCACUGCGCCGUCCCGAUGCGGGGUGACCGACAGCUCCCGGCUCCUUUUCCCCGCAGCAGUGCGGGUUCCUGGGGUCUCCAACCGGCCCCAAUUUGCUGGAGCCCCCUCUGAGACCUUCUGGCCGUGGAAAUCCGACGCCCCGUUGGCAGGAAGGGCUGCGGGGAGGCCGUGCAGACGCAGCUGAAGCUGAGCAGAUCCCACCGCUUUC
RNAcentral lists this long non-coding RNA (1000 nucleotides) under Chrysolophus pictus (golden pheasant). RNAcentral's name for it is "lncRNA (ENSCPIG00010003416.1)". The record is from RNAcentral. Lineage: Eukaryota; Metazoa; Chordata; Aves; Galliformes; Phasianidae.